GACGAACCUUGCUACCGUUAUUCGGAAUUACUGGGCUUAAAGGGUGCGUAGGCGGCGCGGUAAGUCGGGUGUGAAAUCUCGGAGCUUAACUCCGAAACUGCAUUCGAUACUGCCGUGCUUGAGGACUGGAGAGGAGACUGGAAUUUACGGUGUAGCGGUGAAAUGCGUAGAUAUCGUAAGGAAGACCAGUGGCGAAGGCGGGUCUCUGGACAGUUCCUGACGCUGAGGCACGAAGGUCAGGGGAGCAAACGGG
This 253-nucleotide ribosomal RNA is filed under the name uncultured bacterium. RNAcentral's name for it is "partial 16S ribosomal RNA". It matches the Rfam family "Bacterial small subunit ribosomal RNA", at positions 524 to 776 of the family's 1533-position model. The record is from RNAcentral.